Molecule: ribosomal RNA, 433 nt
Filed under: uncultured bacterium
Lineage: Bacteria
Description: partial 16S ribosomal RNA
Rfam family: Bacterial small subunit ribosomal RNA
Source: RNAcentral
AACGAACGCUGGCGGCAUGCCUAACACAUGCAAGUCGAACGAGGCCUUCGGGUAUCGUGGCGCACGGGUGCGUAACGCGUGGGAACCUGCCCUUAGGUUCGGAAUAACUCCCCGAAAGGGGUGCUAAUACCGGAAAAUGUCUUCGGACCAAAGAUUUAUCGCCUUUGGAUGGGCCCGCGUUGGAUUAGCUGGUUGGUAGGGUAAAAGCCUACCAAGGCGACGAUCCAUAGCUGGGCUGAGAGGAUGAUCAGCCACACUGGGACUGAGACACGGCCCAGACUCCUACGGGAAGCAGCAGUGGGGAAUAUUGGACAAUGGGCGAAAGCCUGAUCCAGCAAUGCCGCGUAAGUGAUGAAGGCCUUAGGGUUGUAAAGCUCUUUUACCCGGGAUGAUAAUGACAGUACCGGGAGAAUAAGCUCCGGCUAACUCCGUG